This 445-nucleotide ribosomal RNA is filed under the name uncultured bacterium. RNAcentral's name for it is "partial 16S ribosomal RNA". It matches the Rfam family "Bacterial small subunit ribosomal RNA", at positions 354 to 796 of the family's 1533-position model. The record is from RNAcentral.
GUAAGGAAUAUUGGUCAAUGGAGGCAACUCUGAACCAGCCAUGCCGCGUGCAGGAAGACGGCCCUCUGGGUUGUAAACUGCUUUUACCCGGGAAUAAACCUGCCUUCGUGAAGGUAGCUGAAUGUACCGGAAGAAUAAGGAUCGGCUAACUCCGUGCCAGCAGCCGCGGUAAUACGGAGGAUCCAAGCGUUAUCCGGAUGUAUUGGGUUUAAAGGGUGCGUAGGCGGCCUGUUAAGUCAGGGGUGAAAGACGGUGGCUCAACCAUCGCAGUGCCCUUGAUACUGAUGGGCUUGAAUGGACUAGAGGUAGGCGGAAUGUGACAAGUAGCGGUGAAAUGCAUAGAUAUGUCACAGAACACCGAUUGCGAAGGCAGCUUACUAUGGUCCUAUUGACGCUGAGGCACGAAAGCGUGGGGAUCGAACAGGAUUAGAAACCCCGGUAGUCC